Molecule: ribosomal RNA, 433 nt
Filed under: uncultured bacterium
Lineage: Bacteria
Description: partial 16S ribosomal RNA
Rfam family: Bacterial small subunit ribosomal RNA
Source: RNAcentral
AACGAACGCUGGCGGCAUGCCUAACACAUGCAAGUCGAGCGAGACCUUCGGGUCUAGUGGCGCACGGGUGCGUAACGCGUGGGAACCUGCCCUUGGGUUCGGAAUAACUCCCCGAAAGGGGUGCUAAUACCGGAUAAUGUCUUCGGACCAAAGAUUUAUCGCCUUUGGAUGGGCCCGCGUUGGAUUAGCUAGUUGGUAGGGUAAAAGCCUACCAAGGCGACGAUCCAUAGCUGGUCUGAGAGGAUGAUCAGCCACACUGGGACUGAGACACGGCCCAGACUCCUACGGGAGGCAGCAGUGGGGAAUAUUGGACAAUGGGCGAAAGCCUGAUCCAGCAAUGCCGCGUGAGUGAUGAAGGCCUUAGGGUUGUAAAGCUCUUUUACCCGGGAUGAUAAUGACAGUACCGGGAGAAUAAGCUCCGGCUAACUCCGUG